RNAcentral lists this ribosomal RNA (915 nucleotides) under Triticum aestivum (bread wheat). Its description in RNAcentral is "partial small subunit ribosomal RNA". Lineage: Eukaryota; Viridiplantae; Streptophyta; Magnoliopsida; Poales; Poaceae. The record is from RNAcentral.
AUGACUGACCUUGGUCCUCUUCAUCACUUUCUUGGGAUCACUGUCUCUCGCACUUCAUCUACACUCUUUGUCUCUCAACGCCAGUAUCUUCUUGACUUGCUCUCUCGUGCGGGGAUGACUGACUGUCAACCCUGUCGUACGCCGGUCGACGUUGGUACCAAGUUGUCGGCCGACGGUGAACUUUUUUCUGAUCCUACUCUAUAUCGCAGUAUCAUUGGUGCUCUCCAAUAUUCCACUCUCACUCGUCCUGAUAUAUCUUAUUAUGUUCAACAAGCGUGCUUAUAUAUGCAUGAUCCCCGUGUUCCUUAUUUUUCUCAUGUCAAGAGAAUACUUCGGUAUCUCAAAGGUACUAUUGAUCAUGGUCUCCUUCUUAACUCUUCCUCUCCAACAAGCUUGACAGUUUAUUCUGAUGCAGACUGGGCGGGUUGUCCAGAUACUCGACGAUCUACAUCCGGCUUUUGUGUUUAUUUGGGUGACAAUCUUGUUUCUUGGUCUUAUAAAAGGCAGGAUACAGUUUCCAGAUCUUUUGCAGAAGCUGAAUAUCGGUCUGUUGCUCAUUCUGUGGCCGAGGCGGUGUGGCUCCGUCAGCUUCUGGUUGAGCUUCAUCGACCAAUCGAGCGUGCAACAGUUGUUUAUUGUGACAAUAUUUCUGCAGUCUACAUGGCGUCCAAUCCUGUUCAGCAUCGCCGCACCAAACACAUCGAGAUUGAUAUUCAUUUUGUUCGUGAAAAAGUGGCUCUUGGCGAGGUCCGUGUGCUUCAUGUUCCUACCACUGCGCAAUUUGCUGAUAUUUUCACCAAGGGGCUCCCCACUGCAGCAUUCACUGGCAUUCGCUCCAGUCUCAACAUCGUUACACCUGAUGUUGACACUGCGGGGGUUAUUAGAGUAUAUAUUCGGUUUAUGUAUAUUUGGUAG